GCUUACGGCUAUACCAGCCUGAAAGCGCCCGAUCUCGUCAGAUCUCGGAAGCUAAACAGGGUCGGGCCUGGUUAGUACUUGGAUGGGAGACUGCUUGGGAAUACCAGGUGUUGUAAGCA
Molecule: ribosomal RNA, 119 nt
Organism: Hucho hucho (huchen)
Lineage: Eukaryota; Metazoa; Chordata; Actinopteri; Salmoniformes; Salmonidae
Source: Ensembl